RNAcentral lists this ribosomal RNA (305 nucleotides) under uncultured bacterium. RNAcentral's name for it is "bacterial SSU rRNA". It matches the Rfam family "Bacterial small subunit ribosomal RNA", at positions 333 to 637 of the family's 1533-position model. The record is from RNAcentral.
CUACCUACGGGACGCAGCAGUAGGGAAUUUUCGUCAAUGGGCGAGAGCCUGAACCAGCCAAGUCGCGUGAAGGAUGACGGCCCUUCGGGUUGUAAACUUCUUUUGUCAGGGAGCAAUUGAGUCCACGUGUGGGCUUAGCGAGAGUACCUGAAGAAAAAGCAUCGGCUAACUCCGUGCCAGCAGCCGCGGUAAUACGGAGGAUGCGAGCGUUAUCCGGAUUUAUUGGGUUUAAAGGGUGCGCAGGCGGAAUGUCAAGUCAGCGGUAAAAUUUCGGGGCUCAACCCCGUCGUGCCGUUGAAACUGGC